GCUACGACGGGUAGCGGGACUGAGAGGUUGGCCCGCCACAUCGGGACUGAGACACUGCCCGGACCUCCACGGAGGGCUGCAGUAACGAAUAUUGGGCAAUGGGCGAAGCCUGACCCAGCAAUGCCGCGUGCAGGAUGAAGCCUUUCGGGGUGUAAACUGCUUUCAGGGAUUAGAAAGCUACGGUUGAUCAAUCCCAGAAGAAGUCACGGCUAACUUCGUGCCAGCAGCCGCGGUAAUACGAAGGUGGCAAGCGUUAUUCGAAAUCACUGGGCUUAAAGGGCGCGUAGGCGGACAUGACAGUGUCUUGUGAAAUCCCCCGGCUUAACCGGGGAAUUGCGGGACAAACUACAUGUCUUGAGGCAAGCAGGGGUGUGUGGAACUCUUGGUGGAGCGGUGGAAUGCGUAGAUAUCAAGAGGAACGCCGAAGGUGAAGACAGCACACUGGGCUUGUACUGACGCUGAGGCGCGAAAGCGUGGGGAGCAAACAGGAUUAGAUACCCUGGUAGUCCACGCCGUAAACGAUGUCUACUAGGUUGUGGGGAUUCUGACAUUCUCACAGUCGAAGCAAAAGUGUUAAGUAGACCGCCUGGGGAGUACGGUCGCAAGGCUAAAACUCAAAGGAAUUGACGGGGGCUCACACAAGCGGUGGAGCAUGUGGAUUAAUUCGAAGCAACGCGCAGAACCUUACCUGGGUUUGACAUGUACGGAUGCCUAUCUGGAAACAGAGUCGGCUGCCCUCGGGGAAACUUACACAGGUGCUGCAUGGCUGUCGUCAGCUCGUGUCGUGAGGUGUCGGGUUAAGUCCUUUAACGAGCGAAACCCUUACCGUUAGUUGCCAGCGCGUCAUGGCGGGGACUCUAGCGGGACUGCCGGUGUUAAACCGGAGGAAGGCGGGGAUGACGUCAAGUCCUCAUGGCCUUUAUGCCCAGGGCUUCACACGUGCUACAAUGGCCGUUACAGAGCGACGCGAUACCGCGAGGUGGAGCAAAUCGCAAAAAAACGGCCCCAGUUCAGAUUGCAGGCUGUCAACUCGCCUGCAUGAAGGUGGAAUCGCUAGUAAUCGCGUAUCAGCGAUGACGCGGUGAAUGUGUUCCUGAGCCUUGUACACACCGCCCGUCAAGUGAUGGGAGUUGGGAGUACCCGAAGUCGGAUUGCUAACUUUUUAAGAGGCGUCUGCCGACGGUAAGCUCGAUGACUGGCACUAAGUCGUAACAAGGUA
This 1219-nucleotide ribosomal RNA is filed under the name metagenome. RNAcentral's name for it is "bacterial SSU rRNA". It matches the Rfam family "Bacterial small subunit ribosomal RNA", at positions 273 to 1498 of the family's 1533-position model. The record is from RNAcentral.